CCCAGCACCGAAGCCUUUGGCUCUUUGGCCACUUGGCAAUGAGGUGUUCAGGUUGGUCCGUAGAAACUCUUCUCCACUCUGAGUCCAGCAAUGAAUACGGUAGCUUGGACAUGGCCCAUGGAGGGUGAAAGGCCCGUAAAGGUGGAGAUCAGUCAGGCCAGUGCCUCUUCUGGAUUGACCUUGGAGUCGGGUUGUUUGUGAAUGCAGCCCAAAAGUGGGUGGUAAACUCCAUCCAAGGCUAAAUACAAGCACGAGUCCGAUAGCGAACAAGUACCGUGAGGGAAAAGUUGAAAAGUACUUUGAAAGAGAGAGUAAACAGUGCGUGAAACCGCUCAGAGGUAAACGGGUGGAGUUGAACUGCGUGCUCCCGUGAAUUCAGCUGGUGAGGAUGUUAUGGGCUUGGUCAGAUUGGUUGGACACUGAGGUAUGCUUAGCUGCAUGUUCCAGCCUUCGGGUUGGUAUGCACGUUACGCUCAUCAUGCGUUGUGCGCCUUGGUUGUUUCCUGCCUCCUUGCCAGUGCACUUUCUCGGAGUGAUCACCAUGACCGGCGUUGCUGUCUGGCUGCUCUAGUCAAACUGGUCUUGCACCCGUCCCUUGUGGCGUUGUUAGGUCCGGGAUGACAGGUAGCUCGUUGGCUUGCGUAUGCUUUGCUCUCGGGCGUAUUCAGUUGAUUGGAGCGGGGCUGUACGGUACGUCGGAGCUGGCGGCUAGUUGUGCGUACCUGCGUAUCUUU
Molecule: ribosomal RNA, 734 nt
Filed under: Gorgoderidae sp. NB-2004
Lineage: Eukaryota; Metazoa; Platyhelminthes; Trematoda; Plagiorchiida; Gorgoderidae
Description: eukaryotic LSU rRNA
Rfam family: Eukaryotic large subunit ribosomal RNA
Source: RNAcentral